RNAcentral lists this ribosomal RNA (433 nucleotides) under uncultured bacterium. RNAcentral's name for it is "bacterial SSU rRNA". It matches the Rfam family "Bacterial small subunit ribosomal RNA", at positions 29 to 507 of the family's 1533-position model. The record is from RNAcentral.
AACGAACGCUGGCGGCAUGCCUAACACAUGCAAGUCGAACGAAGCCUUCGGGCUUAGUGGCGCACGGGUGCGUAACACGUGGGAAUCUGCCCUUUGGUUCGGAAUAACAGUUAGAAAUGACUGCUAAUACCGGAUAAUGACGUAAGUCCAAAGAUUUAUCGCCGAAGGAUGGGCCCGCGUAGGAUUAGGUAGUUGGUGGGGUAAUGGCCCACCAAGCCGACGAUCCUUAGCUGGUCUGAGAGGAUGAUCAGCCACACUGGGACUGAGACACGGCCCAGACUCCUACGGGAGGCAGCAGUGGGGAAUAUUGGACAAUGGGCGAAAGCCUGAUCCAGCAAUGCCGCGUGAGUGAUGAAGGCCUUAGGGUUGUAAAGCUCUUUUACCAGGGAUGAUAAUGACAGUACCUGGAGAAUAAGCUCCGGCUAACUCCGUG